This 383-nucleotide ribosomal RNA is filed under the name uncultured eukaryote. RNAcentral's name for it is "SSU rRNA". It matches the Rfam family "Eukaryotic small subunit ribosomal RNA", at positions 587 to 972 of the family's 1831-position model. The record is from RNAcentral.
AGCUCCAAUAGCGUAUAUUAUAGUUGUUGCAGUUGAAAUACUCGUAGUUGGAUUUCUGGCAAGAGUGACUGGUCACACACUCUGUGUGUGAACUUGUGUUGUCUCUGACUAUCCUUGGGGAGAUCCUGUUUGGCAUUAAGUUGUCGGGCAGGGGAUACCCAUCGUUUACAGUGAAAGAAUAGAGUGUUUAACACAGGCUUAUGCUGUUGAAUAGAUUAGCAUAGAAUAAUAAAAUAGGACUUCAGAACUAUUUUGUUGGUUUGCGUUACGAAGGAAUGAUUAAUAGGGACAGUUGGGAAUAUUCGUAUUUUGCUGUCAGAGAUGAAAUUCUUGGAUUUCCGAAAGGAGAAAUACUAUAAAAGCAUUUACCAAGGAUGUUUUCA